RNAcentral lists this ribosomal RNA (551 nucleotides) under uncultured fungus. Its description in RNAcentral is "eukaryotic LSU rRNA". The stretch from base 22 to 175 matches the Rfam family "5.8S ribosomal RNA". The record is from RNAcentral. Lineage: Eukaryota; Fungi.
GCGUAUAACGCAUUUAUAUACAACUUUCAGCAACGGAUCUCUUGGCUCUCGCAUCGAUGAAGAACGCAGCGAAAUGCGAUAAGUAAUGUGAAUUGCAGAAUUCAGUGAAUCAUCGAAUCUUUGAACGCACCUUGCGCUCCCUGGUAUUCCGGGGAGCAUGCCUGUUUGAGUGUCAUGGUAUUCUCAACCUUCAUAACUUUUGUUAUCGAAGGCUUGGACUUGGAGGUUGUGCUGGCUUCUAGUUAAGUCGGCUCCUCUUAAAUGUAUUAGCGUGAGUGUAACGGAUCGCUUCGGUGUGAUAAUUAUCUGCGCCGUGGUCGUGAAGUAACAUAAGCUUGCGCUUCUAACCGUCCUUCAGUUGGACAAUUACUUUGACAUCUGACCUCAAAUCAGGUAGGACUACCCGCUGAACUUAAGCAUAUCAAUAAGCGGAGGAAAAGAAACUAACAAGGAUUCCCCUAGUAACUGCGAGUGAAGCGGGAAAAGCUCAAAUUUAAAAUCUGGCAGUCUUUGGCUGUCCGAGUUGUAAUCUGGAGAAGCGUCUUCCGCGC